GAACAGACCUAAAUUUUUUAGCUCCUACACCAAAAUUUUAUUUUAAUCCAACAUCGAGGUCGCAAUCCUUUUUUUCGAUUUGAACUCUUUAAAAAAAUUACGCUGUUAUCCCUAAGGUAAUUUACUCUUAUAAUCUCUAUAUAAGGAUCAUAUACUCAUAAAUAAAUGUUAAAAUACRAAAAAAGUUUAUUAAAUUUUUCAAUCACCCCAACCAAAUUAAUUUUUAUAUAAAAAACUAUUAAUACCAAAAUUUUCCAUAUAAAUUUCAAUAAAACUCUAUAGGGUCUUCUCGUCUUUUAUUUCUAUUUAAGCUUUCUUACUUAAAAAUAAAAUUCUAAUAAAUUUAAAUAGAGACAGUUAUUCUCCCAUCAAACCUUUCAUACCAGCUUUCAAUUAAAAAACUAAUGAUUAUGCUACCUUUGCACGGUCAAAUUACCGCGGCCAUUUAAUAAUCUCAUUGGGCAGGUCAGACCUUAAAUUAUAUUCAAAAA
This 491-nucleotide ribosomal RNA is filed under the name Piezonotus sp. 2 MB-2015. Its description in RNAcentral is "Coptorhynchus sp. 2 MB-2015 partial 16S ribosomal RNA". The record is from RNAcentral. Lineage: Eukaryota; Metazoa; Arthropoda; Insecta; Coleoptera; Curculionidae.